RNAcentral lists this ribosomal RNA (496 nucleotides) under uncultured bacterium. Its description in RNAcentral is "partial 16S ribosomal RNA". It matches the Rfam family "Bacterial small subunit ribosomal RNA", at positions 28 to 506 of the family's 1533-position model. The record is from RNAcentral.
GAUGAACGCUGGCGGCGUGCCUAAUACAUGCAAGUCGAGCGAACGGACGAGAAGCUUGCUUCUCUAAUGUUAGCGGCGGACGGGUGAGUAACACGUGGAUAACCUACCUAUAAGACUGGGAUAACUUCGGGAAACCGUAGCUAAUACCGGAUAAUAUUUUGAACCGCAUGGUUCAAAAGUGAAAGACGGUCUUGCUGUCACUUAUAGAUGGAUCCGCGCUGCAUUAGCUAGUUGGUAAGGUAACGGCUUACCAAGGCAACGAUGCAUAGCCGACCUGAGAGGGUGAUCGGCCACACUGGAACUGAGACACGGUCCAGACUCCUACGGGAGGCAGCAGUAGGGAAUCUUCCGCAAUGGGCGAAAGCCUGACGGAGCAACGCCGCGUGAGUGAUGAAGGUCUUCGGAUCGUAAAACUCUGUUAUUAGGGAAGAACAUAUGUGUAAGUAACUGUGCACAUCUUGACGGUACCUAAUCAGAAAGCCACGGCUAACUACGU